This 255-nucleotide ribosomal RNA is filed under the name uncultured bacterium. RNAcentral describes it as "partial 16S ribosomal RNA". It matches the Rfam family "Bacterial small subunit ribosomal RNA", at positions 524 to 776 of the family's 1533-position model. The record is from RNAcentral.
UACGAAGGGGGGCUAGCGUUGUUCGGAAUCACUGGGCGUAAAGGGCGCGUAGGCGGCUUUGUAAGUCGGGGGGUGAAAGCCUGUGGCUCAACCACAGAAUUGCCUUCGAUACUGUAGAGCUUGAGACCGGAAGAGGUUAGUGGAACUGCGAGUGUAGAGGUGAAAUUCGUAGAUAUUCGCAAGAACACCAGUGGCGAAGGCGGCUGACUGGUCCGGUUCUGACGCUGAGGCACGAAAGCCAAGGGAGCAAACAGG